AUGAGUUGUUUGAGCUGGAACUGCCGGGGGCUUGGGAACCCCGAGGCAGUUCGUGAACUUCGCAGCAUUGUGAAGUUGGAAGGACCCACUCUUCUCUUUGUAAUGGAAACGAAAAUCAAUGCAAAAAGAGUCGAGGUUUUGAAGCAUUCACUAGGUUUCAGUGGGUGUUUUGCUGUAGACAGUGCCGGCCUUAGCGGCGGUAUUGGUCUUUUUUGGUCUCGAGAUGUAUCUGUCGAGUUAAAAAACUAUAGCCAGAGUCACAUUGAUGUGGUUGUCAAGAGUAAUAUUCAGGAUUUGACUUGGCGUUUUACCGGUUUUUACGGAGCUCCGCGAGCAGAAGAUAGACAUCAUUCCUGGCGGUUCUUGCGUACACUUUAUACGUUACCACAUGCUGCAUGGUUGAGCAUGGGAUAUUACAAUGAAACACUAUACCCUUCGGAGCACUUUAGUAGAUCAGCGCGAUUUGAAAAUCAGAUGCGUGCUUCCGGGAGGUGA
This 495-nucleotide ribosomal RNA is filed under the name Triticum aestivum (bread wheat). RNAcentral describes it as "partial small subunit ribosomal RNA". Lineage: Eukaryota; Viridiplantae; Streptophyta; Magnoliopsida; Poales; Poaceae. The record is from RNAcentral.